This 6612-nucleotide long non-coding RNA is filed under the name Nicotiana tabacum (common tobacco). Its description in RNAcentral is "long non-coding RNA (NTAB_LNC006328)". The record is from RNAcentral. Lineage: Eukaryota; Viridiplantae; Streptophyta; Magnoliopsida; Solanales; Solanaceae.
CCGCCAUGCCCAUUCCGCGUCCUGUGACUAUACAUGGAAUCUGCAGCAGUAACAUGGCUGAAGAUCUUUUAGAUCAUAUUCUUGAUUUCCUAAUUGAGCCCCCAUAUUAUAUUGCCUACGCUCCAGUUGGCAUAGGCAUGCGGGGGUGUGGGAUAUACCACAUCAGCGGAGCAUCUUUGUACAAUCCUUAUCUCUUGAAUUAGUUCUUCAGGUUGAAUUAGCAUCAAAAUCUACUUUCCUUAACCACAAGGUUUGCAUUUAUUGUUGUUUGAACCAUAUUAGUCCUUAUUGAGUGUUGAUAACAUCUUACUUUGGCUCACAAAUCCAUACCAAUAAUUACUGGCAUAUAUAUAUUUACUUUUGCCAGCUAUUUAUUGUUGUGUUUGAUUGUUUUGAGCAAAAGUUUUUGGAAUAAGAUGUCUCCUUUCCUUGAUCACCGACUCCAAUCAAACGUAGCUACCACCUGUAUGAAUAUUAUUUGGUUAGUUGAUUCAAUUCUCAAAGAUUGGAACUUAUCAAGAAUAACAAUAAUAAUAUAACAGUAACAAUAGUAUCAAAGAUAUGAUGCUGUAAAUAAUCUCAGUUAACAGUUUUCUGAUGAGAAUGAGUUAUCUUGAAAUAUGUAUCAUUCAAGAUAUAUAUAAACAUCCCUUCGCCAAAAUUGAAUUAUUAUACCGGUCAUUGUUGGCGGGAUAGAAUUUUCAUCAAGAGAUUUGAUAUUUAUUAUUAUUAUAUAGAUUAAAAAGAAAACCUUAUAUAUAUACAAUGUAAUUUUCUUACCCCUUCUGUCCUUCUAGUUUCGCACCCUAUUGUUUGUGGAAAUGACUUUGUUUUGGAUUCCAAAGAAAGAAGAUCAUUUACAUGCAAUUUUCCUUUAUUUGAUCUAUUAACAACUAUCAUCGUCCUUGUUUCAACACGUUGCACAUUUAAAUACGAGGAAUAACAUAUAUUAGAUGUUUCAUGUAUUUCACUCACAAAAUUUCAAACUUUUUAAUUUUUUUUUUUUUUUUUUUUUACUUACUACACUUCAAAAAAAAGCUCAAUUACCCUUACACAUUGAUUUCUUUAAUUUGCACAAACUUUUUUCUCCAAAAUCUUAAUUUGAAAACGUUUUCCAAAAGUUGUGCAUCUGAUUCUUAUUUUAAUGAUUGAUUUUUUUUACAGCCAAAAGCCAAGUUAUGGGAUGCGGCAUAGUGACUGGUUAUAUUCUCCGCAUGUGGCAAAAUGAUAUACCACUACAUUGUGAAGCCUCUAUUCAAGAUAUGUGAAUUUUAGAUAUAAAUUGAAGUCCCCUUUUGUCUAUACUUAUUGAGAUAAUGAAAUAGAAACAAUCAUAGAGGGCGGAGUUAUUCGUACAAGGAAUACGUUAAAUAAGAUUACUAUAUUGGGUGAGGAUGGAAUUCUUUUACACUUUAUUCUCGAGGAUUGAGUUCUUUCCUCUACGAGACAAAACUCCUUUAUCUUCUUUAAUUUGGCUUUGUAAUUGUUGACAUGAGCAUUAUAGGUUUUGAUGAUUGACAAAAAAAUACAUGUAUGGAUCAUGUUCAUGGACACUGUACACAAGUCACGAUCAGAAUCAAGUAAAAGAUAUACACGUACAAGGGAUAAGUAUAAGUGGUUAUUUCUGAUAAUUCCUGAAUGAAAAGAUUGCAUAUUUGAUAAGGAGCAUGACUCCUUACGUGAAGAGAACUCUAUCCAAGAUAAGGAAAGAGUUAAAAGUUGAAGUUAACUAAAACUCUUCCACCAAGGAAGAAUAAAACAUCCGACUUCUAGUUAUCCUCUAUUCUACUCUCUAUAAAUAUAAGUGUUAUUCUCUUUUACAAGGAUCACACACAUACUGAAGUUAAGCAAAAAUUAAGAGCAAAAUAGCAAGACAUUUUGUGUGCAAUUCAUGUGAGAUUCAAGGGUGCGAACCUGAAGCUACAUGAACCAGACUGAAAAACCAGUUCCAUGUGUCUGUCUUUAAUUCUAGUUCAAAUGUAGUACAAGAUUUUGAGUGGUACCUUUUAGCUUUCUUUAAAAGCAUUUGUACUAGGUACUUGCAUUGUCUUAAUCAAGUUAGAGUUAACUUGAAGUAAUCGCAAUAGCUCGUGGGGUGUAGCUACGAGGGUUAGACUCAUGCUCGUGGAGCAAACAGUGACUGCACUCGAUCUUGUGUGUGUGUGUUAUAUUCUUUUUGAUGACUGGCAGACCCAUUAAUGUGGGUGAGAUCAUGCUCGGUGAGAUGGCCCGCACGCGAUUUGGGCGGCAGAUUAGGAGGUUCUUCUUCGGCAACUCGCUCACGCAAUAUAUGCUUUCCCGAGGGGUGCCGGAGUACCCAGGGUAUGUUAAGGUGGUGGAGGUGCCUACAGGACUAUUGGACAUCACAUACUUGUUGGAGAUGUCGAUUACGCUCACUCAGGCAGCACGGAACGAACGAGAUGAUAACUUCAACAGUUACCUCUAUAACUCUUUAAAUUUACUCAUGAGAAAGGCUGGUAUUUCAGACGAGGAGCGUAUGCAUUUACGCAAUGACUUGUCGAGCUCGUCCAAGGAGAUGUUGGGGAUUACACCUGGCAGCCCAGUUCACUCGUCGGAGGACGCAAACACUAUCAAGAGCUCAAACACAGAGGAAGAUGUGGAUGAUGAUGUUACGAGGGCCUUGGCUUUGGUGCCUCUAGGACCUGAUGAUGAUGUGCCCGGCGCUGCGGAUGGAGUGCAUGCUGAGGAGGAGGACUCCGACUAACAGGGAGUUUUCUUUUCACCCUACUCUAUUUUACAUUUUUAUAUGUAUCAGGGACUAUGCAUAAUAUAAGUGUGGGGUGGGAGGAAUACUACUUGUGAUGUACUUGUAUAAAUUAUAUCACUUUGUUUCUUUUACUAGUUUUACUUAGUCUAGUUUUAGUCUAGUUUGUUUUUACAAAACAAUUUAGAAAAAACUCGAACUUUUCCCGACGAUAGAUCUUUUGGACAAUUUUCUUGAGGGAUAGAGUCUGAUUAAAAACACCAAAAAAGAUUUUUUUUAAGGAUAGUUAGGUAGUAUACCUUGUUUUUUCUUUUAGCGUCGGUUCUUUUUCAAGGGUGUAGCUUGAACCGGGUACUUAAUUUUUUUUUUUGAGUAGGUUAGGAAGAAACUGAGUUGCUUUGAGCUACUUAGUGACAUGUUUAGUACUGGUACAUUAGGUUAUGACAUACAUUCUAUCUUUCCGUAUAUUUGGUUUGAAUUGUGACGCCUAAGUAAAGUAAAUAGCCUAUUUUGUGAUGCUUUUCCUCAGUUGUUUGACUUGUAUGCCACAUAGUGCAUUAUUGCUUGAAUUUUCUCAAUUAUGUGUGCUUGCGUGACUUGAGAGUUAAACAGAACCUUCUUGAUUGAGUCAUGUGCAAUGUGUGUGUGAGGAGUUGUGAUCUUCCGUGCUAUCUUGUGUAAUCUAGAACUUACCCCGUGUAUUAAUCGAAGCGAAAUUGUUAAGUUAUGAUAAUUUAGGAGAUGGCGUAGGCGUUUCUUGCUUGAUCAUAGAUGUGCUUGUCACAUAAAAAUAAAAAUUUUCGUUGCUAGCCCCCUUGAGCCUAUAGACCUUUCUUUUGGCACCCAUAUUAUAAGCCAUACCCCUAUUUUGUUCUUAAUUUAAGAUUGUUGAACCUUUACCUCUUAAGGCAUUUAGUCUCUAAAAGAAGUAACGUGAGAGAUUUGGGGAGUAGCUUUCGAAUGGAACCAUGGAAGGGAUUUUUGGUGCACUAAAGUUGACAUCAAAAGUCACUAGCCGAUGAACUUUAAUGUAUGGAGUGUGUGAAGAAAAAAAAAAGAGAGAAAGAAAAAAAAAAUUGCAAGAAAAGAGAAAACAAAUGAUAGUCAAAGUAUGUAGAAAAAAGUAUACAUCUUCAAAUCUUAUUAAUUUGUGCUAGUGGGAGUAUAGAAGUGCUUAAUGAAAGUAAGGGCUAUAUUGUGUAUGGGUUGUGGCAAGUGAAUUAGUUGAGAAGAAUAUGGGCUCGAAUUGUGAGUGUAGUGUAUUAAAGUGCUUCGGAGGGUUAGUCACUAUUUCUAAAUAUAUCAUACUUGUCCCUUAGCCUACGUUACAACUUUAAAGUCCUAAUUGAUCCUAGAUUUAGCUAGCUUAGAUUAGUAGAGAUGUACAUUACGGGCAAGCUUAUGGUACGACCACGGGAUGUAUAUGAAUUCUUUGUGAGAGUGAGCGAAUUUUGUUCAAUUGUGUGAUGUCCUUAAUUUAUAUUCAAAAGCAUGUUUGAAUGUGUGGAUUAAUCUAUAUUCAUUCUUUUAAUGUCGGUAAGGGCACAUGAUCUCAUGAAUGAUUGGUAAUGUUGUAAACUUUCUUGUUGGGCGAGUACAAGAGUUGAGGGUGCUUAGUGGUAACAAGUCAAUUUUUGAGGUUGGGUGGUUACAAAUAGGUUGUUGGAAUUGAUUGAAUUGAAAUGUUAUACUUGGGCAUGAUUAAAACGGGAAGAAUGCGAUAUUUUGUAUGUUCAGGCUUGAUUGCCGGUACUGAUCAUAGUCAAGGGUAGAGUGUAUGGUUAAAAGUUGAAGUGCUCCUCUGUAGUUGAGAUUUGUACGUAAUUGGGGGUAUAUUUGAUAGUCUCAUUGCUCGAGGACGAGCAAGAGUCUAAGUAUGGGGUGUUGAUGUUUAGCUUAAAGUAUAUAUAAUUAUAUGUAUAUCGCCUCAUGUUUUACUAUUGUUUCGUGGAUUUAUGAUGUAAAAUAUGUUAAUUUAUAUUAAUUCGAGAUGUUUUUAUGUGCAGGAAUGAUCCGGGAGCAAUUAGGGGCAAAAGAUGCGAAAUUAGAGCCAAAACGGACGAAAAAAAGGAAAGGGGCAUUUCCAGCGCCACAGGUAGCUCCCUACGCUACAUGUGGCACCCCAGACAAAACGUGAAAUUUACUAGUGCCAGGGACGACGCCUAGCUCUGGGAUAGACACUGGUGACGGGAUUUCUAUCCAACUUUGCCCGGGACAAUGUUAUUUCGUCCCUAAACCUACCCAAUACCUAUAAAAGUAAGACUAAGCUUAUUUUUAAGGGAUAGACGCCACUUUGAAGGGAGAAUGCACACGAGAAACAUUCGGGAGCAAAGAGAUCUCAGUUUUCUUCAUCUUUUCUUAGUAUUUUUAAUUAUCCAACACUUAUGAAAUUGUUUGCUAGUAUCAUGAGUGGUUAAAAUCUAUAGUUCUGGGGUUAUAAUUUAGCCAUGAAUAUUGUUGUUUAACGUUGGCUUAACCUUGAUUUCAAUUCACUAAUAUAUAGUUAUUUCUUCUAUUCUGUGAUUAAUUGCUUAAUUGUCUGGCCAUCAGUUAGAUUCUAUUUACUAUCUAUGCUAUGCUUGGGAAAGCCAUGUUUAGAUUAGAGAAGAAUUGAAGAGAGCAUGAUCUUAACUCUUAAGGGGGACGGAUUUGUAGUUAGGAUAGGAAUAUACCUAGUCACCGUGCUUAUUUAAUUAUCGUAAUCUUAAUGCAUUCUUAAUAGAUUGAUUCUAUAGGAAUAUAGACGUUAAUCUAUUUUGAAUAGGCGAGUAGUACUUCGGGAGAAGGCUAUGAGAGCAAUUAUCGAUUAAUUAGCAACCAUGAGUGAAUUGUAUGAAAGGGAGAGUUAACUAGAACACAAUAGGAUUGGUGAAUCGAUCACAAUCCUGGAAUAUUUGUCUCUAUUGAAUACAUAACAAUCAUUUUACUGGUUGAUAAUUUAGUUACUACUUAGAAUUAUAGUUUAGUAUAAUCACAUUCUUGAACUCGAAUUUGGCUUGACUGAAUAACAAUUUUGGUAAAUUUAGUGGGUAGUUGAUACAAGUCUCUGUGGGUUCGACACUCGACAUAUCAUUUUAUUACUUGUACGACCACGUAUACUUGCGUGUGCGUUUGGGAGUGACACUUAUUGACAAUCAAACAGGUUAAAUUCUAAAUCCUAUAAAUAACACAUUUCAAAAGUUGCAUACUUGUAAACAUCACCAACCAUAUCACAACUCCAGAAAAAUAGUUUUCAAACACAUAAAGCACAUCUACAACAAAACCAAUUUGAAUUUGGAAAGAAAAAAAUUUAAUAUUCAAUACUAUGAAGAAAACUAAAAAUCUGUUUAUACUUUAGUUGUGCUCUUUGAACAAUCCUAAAAUAUUACCUUGAGAUUGAUUCAAACAUAACGCAGAGCAGAAAGAGAAAAAACAGCCAGUGACAAUUGUGUCUUCUCUGAAGGUCCCCAAGAGUUCUAAAAUACAUAUGCAAAAAGAAAUAUUUCAAUUAAGACCCAAAUCACAGAAAUUAACCUACAAAAUACACAAAAAUUCUGAAUUUUACAACCUAUAAUACCUAAUACAGAAGGAGAAAGAGGACUUACAUCUCGAUUUCAAUAAAAAGUGUUAUAUCCUUCUUCAAAAUAUACCGAUUAUACCAAAUUUCUAUUACUUUCUGCUGAGAAUCGCAAAACAUCAAGAUGAAAGAAAGAGAAAAAAUCAGGAAAGGGAAAACACAAAUUAACAGAGAAAAAAAAUUUAAAACCCACAUGCAAGAAGAAAGAAAGACAGAAAAGCAAAAUCAAAGAAUGGGGAAGAGGAAUUACCAUAGAUCUGAAGUUUGAUUGUAGAAAACUAUUUCACAUGUUCUCCUUUACAAAUCUCUUUCAUUUGUAUCUGAAACAUGC